UACGGAGGGUGCGAGCGUUAGUCGGAAUUACUGGGCGUAAAGCGCGCGUAGGCGGUUUGGUAAGUCGGAUGUGAAAGCCCUGGGCUCAACCUGGGAAUUGCAUUCGAUACUGCCUGACUAGAGUAUGGUAGAGGGAAGUGGAAUUUCCGGUGUAGCGGUGAAAUGCGUAGAUAUCGGAAGGAACACCAGUGGCGAAGGCGACUUCCUGGGCCAAUACUGACGCUGAGGCGCGAAAGCGUGGGGAGCAAACAGG
RNAcentral lists this ribosomal RNA (253 nucleotides) under uncultured bacterium. RNAcentral's name for it is "partial 16S ribosomal RNA". It matches the Rfam family "Bacterial small subunit ribosomal RNA", at positions 524 to 776 of the family's 1533-position model. The record is from RNAcentral.